UCCUGGAGAAAGACCCUCCUGUAGGUUUUAACUCCAACCCUGUUCCUGGAGAAAGACCCUCCUGUAGGUUUUAACUCCAACCCUGUUCCUGGAGAGAGACCCUCCUGUAGGUUUUAACUCCAACCCUGUUCCUGGAAAGAGACCCUCCUGUAGGUUUUAACUCCAACCCUGUUCCUGGAGAGAGACCCUCCUGUAGGUUUUAACUCCAACCCUGUUCCUGGAAAGAGACCCUCCUGUAGGUUUUAACUCCAACCCUGUUCCUGGAGAGAGACCCUCCUGUAGGUUUUAACUCCAACCCUGUUCCUGGAGAGAGACCCUCCUGUAGGUUUUAACUCCAACCCUGUUCCUGGAGAGAGACCCUCCUGUAGGUUUUAACUCCAACCCUGUUCCUGGAAAGAGACCCUCCUGUAGGUUUUAACUCCAUCCCUGUUCCUGGAGAGACCCUCCUGUAGGUUUUAACUCCA
Long non-coding RNA from Oncorhynchus keta (chum salmon), 464 nucleotides. RefSeq lists it as uncharacterized. NCBI's taxonomy places the organism in Eukaryota, Metazoa, Chordata, Actinopteri, Salmoniformes, Salmonidae. The record is from RefSeq and is a predicted model, not a curated record. The transcript is spliced from 4 exons.